AAAUUGAAGAGUUUGAUCAUGGCUCAGAUUGAACGCUGGCGGCAGGCCUAACACAUGCAAGUCGAGCGGAAACGAGUUAUUAGAACCUUCGGGGGACGAUAACGGCGUCGAGCGGCGGACGGGUGAGUAAUGCCUAGGAAAUUGCCCUGAUGUGGGGGAUAACCAUUGGAAACGAUGGCUAAUACCGCAUGAUGCCUACGGGCCAAAGAGGGGGACCUUCGGGCCUCUCGCGUCAGGAUAUGCCUAGGUGGGAUUAGCUAGUUGGUGAGGUAAGGGCUCACCAAGGCGACGAUCCCUAGCUGGUCUGAGAGGAUGAUCAGCCACACUGGAACUGAGACACGGUCCAGACUCCUACGGGAGGCAGCAGUGGGGAAUAUUGCACAAUGGGCGCAAGCCUGAUGCAGCCAUGCCGCGUGUGUGAAGAAGGCCUUCGGGUUGUAAAGCACUUUCAGUCGUGAGGAAGGUA
RNAcentral lists this ribosomal RNA (466 nucleotides) under Vibrio parahaemolyticus. Its description in RNAcentral is "bacterial SSU rRNA". It matches the Rfam family "Bacterial small subunit ribosomal RNA", at positions 1 to 453 of the family's 1533-position model. The record is from RNAcentral. Lineage: Bacteria; Pseudomonadati; Pseudomonadota; Gammaproteobacteria; Vibrionales; Vibrionaceae.